AAAUUCCAUUAUUUAUGGGAGGAAGAAUGGCUCAGUGGUCAAGAGCAUUGUUUGCUUUCCAAAAUUGGAUUCUAUUCCUAGUACCCACAUUUUUCUCAUCUGAAACUCCAGAUCCAAGGUAUUUUAUGCCCUCUUCUGACCUCUGUGGGCACUGCACAUACAUGCUAUAGGGGCAUACAUGCAGACAAAACACUCAUACACAUAUAACAAUAACAACAAUAGUAAUAAUAAAUGAAAUUUUUCCUUCUUUAUUUCUUCCUUGACUGAUGGGUGUUCAAAAGUAAGUUAUUUAAUUUCAUUCUGUUUAUAGUUUCCAAUGUUUUUUCUUUUUCUUGAUUUCUGACUUUUUGCAUUAUGAUUAGAAAAAAUAUAACCAAUACAAUUUCAAUUCUUCUAAACUUAUCGAGGCUGUUUUUAUUGCAUGUUGUAUAAUCUAUACUACCCAAAGCAUUUAUUAUUAAAUCUAUCCUAGAUACUAUCUUCACAGAGAAAAAUACAUAUUCUGUAGCUGUCAGAAUGCAGUGUUCUAUAACAGUUAGGUCUAUUUGUUCUCAGCUGAAAUUUAACUUGGCCACCUAUUUCUUGAUUCUCCAUUUAGGUGACCUAUCCAUUGCUGGAAGUCAAGUAUCAAUGUCUCUGAUUAUUAUUGUAUUGGAGUCUAUUUCUCCCUCUAGGUCUAUUAAACUUUGAAUUAUACAUUUCAUUUUUAUCUGUCUAGUUACUCUAUGUGUGUUAAUUUAAUAAUUUUUCCACUUACUUUCAAAAUAAUUACUAGUACAUAAGAUCUUACUAUCAGUGUUAUUUAAAGUUAUUUUCUAAUUGUAUUGUAGUCUAUUUUCCUCAUCUCUCUCAGUUUUCCUUUGUGUUAAGCAAAUUGUUCCAGUCAUGUGUUUGAUCCACCACUUAUAAUAUUUGGGUUUCCUAUUACAGAUACUUAACUUGUGGCUACUAUGAGGCAUAUAAAAAUCAUUUAUUUUCUAAAUGUUAGCAACUUCAUGUGGUUAUAAAGAUAACAACAGAAUCAAAAUAGUAAGAAAAAAUAUAAUAAUAAGAACGCUCUCCGUGUACACUUCAUUUCUCCUCAGGUUUUUAAUUUUUAACACUUUACCUUAUGACUUUUAUAUUCCUCAUCUUUUAGUAUAUUAAUGUAUUCAUAUUUUCAUUUUUGCUUUAGUCUUCAUGCUAAAGCUAUGAAUAAUUUAUGCACCAUGCUUACAGAAUUAGAUAAUUCUCAGUUUCUAUAAUUACUCUUUCUUGUGAUUUGGAUGCCUUCCCAUGUUGAAUUUUCACUCAUUAGUAUCUCUUGCUUUUGUGUUUGCUGUGUCAAGGGGCUCAGAAAUAUCUACUCUCAGCUUCUGCUUGGGAAUGCCUUUAUCCCUUCUGCCUUCUUUAGAAGAGAUAACGCUACUGGGGAUAAUAAGUUCAGCUAACAGAUUUUUAGUACUAUGAAAAUCUCCUCGCCGUUUGAGUCCUUGGUUAUAAGGGUAGACAAAAUUGAGUUAAAUUUGCCAAGUGCCAUUUGGCUUUUCGCUACCUGUAUAUUUGAACCCUUCUCAAGGGCUAGAAAAUGUUCUGGUGUUAUCUCUUUUUAUAAAUUGUCCACUCCUUUGCCAUUCUCAGGUCUUUUCUUGAUCAACCAAAUAUUUGCUCUUUUCAUACAGUCCAGAGUUUUCACAAGCUUUCUUCAUUACAAACGUCUAUUUUCAAGACACAUAUAUUCAAGCUGACUUAUGUCUAGUUUACCCUACUUUUAGUCUCUUCCAUAGUGUUGCUAUUGUUGUUGUUGUUGUUAAUUUUGCUGAACGUAUUUUUCUGCUCAAUAAUCUCUGUACAAUUUUUAAUUUCUCCCAUCCUUUGUUAAGUUUCCUUAUUACAUUAUCAACAUAUUUCUUUAAACUUUAAACAACUGUUGUAAAUGCUCCGCUCUAUCUAAGCUAUAUCCUAUACUGAUUGCUAUUUGAUUAGUUUCUGGUACCUUAUUUUCAAUACUAAGUGAAAUUAUGUUUUCCUGAAAGCCCUUGAUGUUUGUUGCAUGUAGUAGCACCCUGACAUUGAAGGGUUUAUUAUUUAUAACAGCUUUAGUUGUGCCUAUCUUAAAAGAAAUUCUAAGCAGGGUGCUUACUUUCUCAGAGCCUGAAGUUACUUCCAUUGUUUUGGCACUGAAUAACACCCAGGCACAAAUUUGCUGAGAAUCUGCUGUGGAUGCGUUGUCAACAUUUUUAGGCCUAUACAGCAAUCCACAUGCUGGUUUGCCCCAAAUAAACUAUUGGCAUUUCUUAAGAAGGAACAGGAGAGGACCAGAGGGACGGCGCUGCUAGUAAAGGUGUUUGUCAUCAAGCAUGACAACUUGAGAUCAAUUCCCAGGACCAAUGUGGUAGAAGGAGAGAACUGACUCCCACAGGUUGACCUGUGAUCUCUGUAUAUGUGCUGUAGCAUGAACACACCCACACACAUACACAUACACACACAAAAAAUUCCCUUGAAAAUAUAACGAAGAUAGAGUUGUGAAAGAAAUGG
RNAcentral lists this long non-coding RNA (2517 nucleotides) under Mus musculus (house mouse). RNAcentral's name for it is "long non-coding RNA chrX:71136347-71138864". The record is from RNAcentral. Lineage: Eukaryota; Metazoa; Chordata; Mammalia; Rodentia; Muridae.